Molecule: ribosomal RNA, 273 nt
Filed under: Triticum aestivum (bread wheat)
Lineage: Eukaryota; Viridiplantae; Streptophyta; Magnoliopsida; Poales; Poaceae
Description: partial small subunit ribosomal RNA
Source: RNAcentral
AUGGUGGAUGUAUACAACAGCACACUCGAUUUCUCAGGUUGUCUGGCGCUGGUUCAUCUCAAGAUUGACGACAGCGACAUAGAGGGGAACAUCACUUCUCCGUUAUUGCAACAUCUCAGCAUCAACCUUAGUUAUUUUCAGACAGGCCCCUUCUGCACACGGAUCCGUACGCCUAACCUUGUUUCCCUGGAGCUAAUCAAUGUUAUGCGUAGGGCUCCGGUACUGGAUGAAAACAUGCCACUGUUAGUUUCGGCAAGUGUUAUUCUUGGUUGA